GCUUGGGUGGCUCAGUCGUUUAAGUGUCUGACUUCAGUUCAGUUUAUGAUCUCACAGUUUGUGGGUUCAAGCCCCACGUCAAGCU
RNAcentral lists this transfer RNA (85 nucleotides) under Felis catus (domestic cat). It matches the Rfam family "tRNA". From Rfam's summary of the family: Transfer RNA (tRNA) molecules are approximately 80 nucleotides in length. Their secondary structure includes four short double-helical elements and three loops (D, anti-codon, and T loops). The record is from Rfam by way of RNAcentral. Lineage: Eukaryota; Metazoa; Chordata; Mammalia; Carnivora; Felidae.